AUUUUCUUUCGAAUAAGCUUUUUUGAACUAAAAAAUUAUUUAAUGACUAAACAAAAGGUCAAAAUGAUUUGAAAUAGAUAAUUAUUCUAAUAAUCUUAACUAUUUGAAUUGAUGUAGCAAACACAUUUUUUUUAAAUUAUUUAUUAAUUUUGAAAAUAUUGUUAAAUUAGUAUUACGAUCAGAAACAACUAUUUUAUGACAAAAUAAAGAUCAUAAUGAUUUGAGAUUGAUAUUUGUCCAAAUAGUCAUAACUAUUAAAAUUGCUUUAGAAAACAACUUUAGUUUUUAAAUCUCUUGCUUAAUAAUUUUUAAAAUAUUAAUAAAGUAGUAUUAUUUUAUUUCAGAUACGUUUAUUAAUUGAAACAAUCAUUUUAUGACAAGAUAAAAAGUUAAAACAAUUUUAAAUAGAUAAUUGUUCAAAUAGUCAUAUCUAAUUAAAAUUGUUCAGUAAACAGAUUUAUUUUUUUUAAAUCUCUUGCUUAGUAAUUUUUCGAAUGUUAAUACAUUAGUAUUAUUUUAUUCCGAAUAAGUUUGUAUGAACUAAAAUAAUAGUUUUAUGACUAAACAAAAGGUUAGAAUUAUUUGAAAUAGAUAAUUGUUCAAAUAGUUUUAACUAUUUAAACUAGUUCGACAAACAUAUUUAUUUUUUAAAUCUCUUACUUAUUAAUUUUCAGAAUAUUAUUAAAUUAGUAUCAUUUUAAUCGAAUAAGCUUACAUGAAAAGAAACAAUUGUUGUAUGACAAAAUAAAGAUCAUUACGAUUUGAUAUAGAUAAUUAUUCAAAUAGUUAUAACUAUUUGAACUAGUUCAGUAAAUAGAUUUAGUUUUUAAAUCUCUUAUUAAUUUUCAAAAUAUUAAUAAAUUUGUAUUAUUUUAUUUUGAAUAAUUCUGUAUGAAUAGAAACAAUUGUUUUACCACAAAACAAAAGGUCAUAAUAAUUUAAAAUAGAUAAUUGUUCAAAUAAACAUAACUAUUUGAACUUGUUCGAUAAACAUAUAUAUUUUUUAAAUCUCCUACCUAUUAAUUUACAAAAUAUUAAUAAAGUAGUAUUAUUUUAUUUUGAAUAAACUUGUAUGAAUAGAAACAAUUGUUUUAUGACAAAACAAAAGAUCCUAACUAUUUGAAAUAAAAAAUUGCUCAAACAGUCAUAAUAAUUUGAGCUUACUCAGUAAACAGAUUCAUUUUAUAAAUCUUUUACUUAUUAAUUUUUGAAAUAUUAAUAAACUAGUAUUAUUUUAUUUCAAAUAGGCUUGUCUGGACAAAAACAAUUUAUUUAUCACAAAACAAAAAGUCAUAACUAUUUGAAAUAAAUAGCAAAUAUUCAAAUGAGAACUUUGAAGGCCGAAGGGGGGAAAGGUUCCAUGUGAGCAGCACUUGAACAUGGAUUAGUCGAUCCUAAGAGAUAGGGGGAGUUAGUCCAAUAGUGCAUUGAGUCCGAGCUUUGAAAGGGAAUCAUGUUAAAAUUUCUAAGCCAGAACGUGGAGGCUAAUGGCAACGUUAGGGAGUUUGGAGUCAUCGGCAGGGGACUCGAGAAGAGUUAUCUUUUUUGUUUAACUACCUACCUACCCUAGAAACGCUCAGCUAGAGGUAGGGUCCAAUGGUUGAAAGAGCACCACACGUCACGUGGUGUCUGGUGCACCCUCAACGACCCUUGAAAAUCUAAAGGAUCAUGCUAUUCGUGCCCAGUUGUACUUAUAACCUAUUAGGUUUCCAAGGUGAAUAGCCUCUGGUCGAUGGAAUAAUGUAGGCAAGGGAAAUUGACAAAAUGGAUCUGUAACCUCGAGAAAAGGAUUGGCCCUAAGGGCUAGGCACUAGGGUCACAGUGUCGAACCCAUCAGCUACUGGAGCACUACUCAAGUUGCUUUCGUGGUGAGAGUAGGUCGCCACAUGCCAACCAAGGGAUGGACUAGGAAAGGCUCCCUUAAGGGCUUUUCUCGGGUGAUGAAUAGUUAACUCAAAACUGAUAUAGACAAGGGGAAUCUGAUUGUUUAAUUAAAACAAAAGCAUUGUGAUGGUCAUUACAGAUGUUCAUGCAAUGUGAUUUUUACCCAGUGCUUUGAGUGUCAAUGUGAAGAAAUUCAACCAAGCAUGGGUAAAUAGCAGAAGUAACUAUUACUCUCUCUAAGUAGCCAAAUGCCUUGUCAUCUAAUUAGUGAUGCACAUUAAUGGAUUAAUGAGAUUCCCAUUGUCCUUGUCUACCAUCUAGUGAAACCACAGCUAAUGGAAUGGGCUUGGUAGAAUCAACAAAGAGAGAAGACCUUAUUAGGUUAACUUUAGUCUAACUUUGUGAAAUGACUUGAGAGGUGUAGGAUAAGUGGGAGACCUCGAAUGAAAUUGAAAUACCUAUACUUUUAAUAUUAUUUUACUUAUUCUGUGAAUCGAAAGUAGGGCACGACCUUUUUUUUUUGGACCUAAGGCCGGCCUCAGUUAGUCAAUCUAGGCAAAAAACAUUCUUAGGUGGGGAGUUUGGUUAGGAAGGCAAAUUUGUUAAAAGAUAAUGCAGGUGUCCCAAGAUGAGCUCAAUGAGAACACAAAACAUAUGUGGAACAAAAGGGUAAAAGCUCAUUUGAUUCUGAUUUCCAGUACGAAUAUGAAUUAUGAAAGCAUGGCCUAUCAAUCCUUUAUACCUUUGGAAUUUGAAGCUAGGGGUGUCAGAAAAGUUACCAUAGGGAUAACUGGCUAGUGGUAGCUAAGCAUGCAUAGCAACAUUGCUUUUUAAUCCUUCGAUGCCAACUUUUCCUAUCAUUGUGAAGCUGAAUUCACCGAAGUGUUGGAUUGUUCACCCACUAAUAAAGAACAUGAGCUGGGUUUAGACUAUCGUGAGAUAGGUUAGUUUUACCUUAUUGAUGACAAUGUCGAAUAGUAAUUCAACCUAGUAGAGAGGAACUGUUGAUUCACACAAUUGGUCAUCGUGCUUGGUUAAAAGUCAAUGGUGCAAAGCUACCAUGCGUUAGAGUAUGACUGAACACCUCUAAGUUAGAAUCUGGGCUAGAAGUGAUGCAUGCGCUUGUCACCCGAUUGUCAACCCAUAGUAGAAGCUUAUGGCCCCCAAAGGUACAUGUUGUAGGUGCAGCCUCUGAGGUGAACAAAUUAUGCGGGCCUCCUUAGAGCUUAAUUCCCACAAAG
This 3125-nucleotide ribosomal RNA is filed under the name Durio zibethinus. RNAcentral's name for it is "eukaryotic LSU rRNA". The stretch from base 848 to 3125 matches the Rfam family "Eukaryotic large subunit ribosomal RNA". The record is from RNAcentral. Lineage: Eukaryota; Viridiplantae; Streptophyta; Magnoliopsida; Malvales; Malvaceae.